Long non-coding RNA from Populus trichocarpa (black cottonwood), 3547 nucleotides. RefSeq lists it as uncharacterized. Lineage: Eukaryota; Viridiplantae; Streptophyta; Magnoliopsida; Malpighiales; Salicaceae. The record is from RefSeq and is a predicted model, not a curated record. The transcript has 3 exons.
UAAAAUACAAAAACAAACUUUUAUUUCAUAAUAAAAACCACACCACUCACAGAUCAUCCUUCCCUGAUUCAUUUCUUUUCCUAUAGGCGGAUUAUCUUAGUGAGCUGAUUUGGUCAGUCACAGCCACUAUAACAGUUGAUCCAUGGCUGCAGUCCUUGCCUUUGACACCUCUGUGACCAGCAAGAUAUUACCAGGAGGAAAGGGAGUGGUUGGUUCUCUCUUCCAAGCUCUCACGGGCACCAUAAGUUCAUAUGAACACAUCAGUACCGUAUGAGCUUGUUUUUCCUAAGAUGGAAUCAAGUCACUUCAUGUUUACCUUGCUCUGUGAAAGGCUGCACAGCAAGUGAACGUACUCUGUCCCAAGAGGUUGCGCUGCCUCAUCUGCAACAAGCUGUGACCCAAUAACCAGGAGAAAUGAUGGAAACUUAUUGAUCAGACAUCUCUAGCCUUUUCAUUAGGUAAUUGACUAUGUACACUCUUUCUGAAAGCAGGGUUAUUAAUAUUGCUGCCUUCUUAUUGCAAAUUUUGUUGCAAUGUUUCUUUUACUUUUUCUUGGCUGGUGUUUUAAUCCCUUUUCAACCUACAAAGCUGCUGUCUAUAUCUUCUUUCUUCCUUGAACGUGGUUUUUGCAAUCUUGACUGUUUGUAGAAAGAUUAAAACAGUUAUAUGUGUGUAUAACAUCAGCAUCAAGAUACAUUAUCACCAUUUUUUUUUAUUCCACUACUAGUCUGUGAAUAAACCACCCGGCCAGCAGCCAUAUCACACUGAACUGCACUCUAGUUAGGAUAAUCGAUGAUACUGGGUGUUGGAUUUUCUGUAUUUUAGAAAGUUGACUGAAGCCUAUGCUUCUGCAGAUCACUAUAUCAGAAGUCAGAAUAUUUCAAUAUGUAAUUAACCUUCCAUGUAAAAACGAGGUAGGCAUAGGUGAUUAAUCAUUUGAGUCCAUAACAGAAGUAAGUGGAGAGUUUUAUCAAAAAAGGAACAAGGACUAAAUGAAUGGAGAAGGAAGAUCUGUGAAACUGAUUCUAACUAGUUUGGGAAUGAGGCAUAGUUGAGUUGAAUUGUGGGGUGGGGUUAGAGCACUGAGGAGAAUGGAAGAAGCUACACGGCCAUCAUUGACCAGCAUUGUUUCAUCAAACAUUGUACUAUUUCAACCAUGUGUUUUGCUUAAAUCAUAAAUUAUACCUAUGUUUGUAUGCUAAUUAAUUAACCCCUCAUGGAGCAGUCUUUGUUGUGCUUUGAGGAUUACUAUGGUAUGCACAAACAAGGUAACCCUCUAAGUAUUCCAAUCUACCUUCCUCUUCACCACUAAUACCAGGCUUGCCACAUGCCAGCUGUUAGUCUUUAGGAUUAAAGAAUUUUUACCUCGUUAAGCCAUGAUUCAACGACCACAGCUGAGGAUUGAGUCGGUACUAGAGAAGGAAUGAGCAGAGUAAUCAUUAGAUCUAUGGAAAGACAAGGUGAAAUCCCCAGGCUCUUCAUGACUAACUGGCAUCAAACCUAUGCUAGCACCAUCGAGAGGCAUCUCUGGCAGGCUAGCAUUCCCAUCCAGAUAUUGCGAAAUUUGCCUCAUGCUUGGCCUAGCUUGUGGUGUAGAGAAAGAACAAAGCAGACCUAGCCUUAAAACCAAUUCCAUUUCCUCCACCACGUAAUUACCUUCCAAUCUUGGAUCACCUGUUCGAAGAAUGUCUCCUAUUUUCCAGGAAUCAAGAACCCAGUCAACCAAAAUCAUCUUCUCUGCUGAUUGUUCUGGCUCUACAGGUUUCCUUCCACAAGGCCAUUUCAAGCAUAAAAGUGCCAAAAGCAAAAACAUCACUGCUGGUAGUGGCCCUUCCUGUUCUAGUAACCUCUGGCGCGAUAUAUCCAACUGUUCCAACCACACAGGUUGUUUGAGGAUUAGCCCCACGAUCAUAGAAUUUAGCAAGCCCAAAAUCUCCUAGUCGACCAUUGAAAUCAUCAUCUAACAGUAUAUUGCUAGCUUUAACAUCUCUAUGAAGAACAACCUGUUCCCACUCUUCAUGGAGGUAAAGAAGGGCAGACGCAACUCCUCUGAGGACCUGAUAUCGAUGAACCCAAUUAAAGCUGGGUGUGUCAUUGUGAAAUAGGAGUUUAUCAAGGCUUCCGUGGGGCAUGUAAUCAUAGACCAAGAGGAGCUCUCCCUUUCUCCGGCAAUAGCCUAGGAGCUGGACCAAGUUCCUGUGCCUCAGCCUUCCCAUGCUAGCAAUCUCAGCAACAAACUGCUUAGUUCCUUGUUUGGAAUCAUGGGAUACUUUCUUGAUCGCGACUUGCAUAUUGGAAGAAGGCAAUACUCCUCUGUAAACCUUUCCGAAACCUCCACUUCCCAGCAACUUCCUGUCCGUGAAACCUGUAGUUGCUUUGUAUAAAUCCUUGUAGGAGAAUCUUUGAGGACCAUACUCCUGUUCCCAAUCUUCGCGCAGUUCUUCAUAUUUCUUCCUCUUUAUUAUAUAAGCAGCACCAGAGAUUGCUACCAGCAAAAUGAUUGCUGUUAUUGUUGGGACCAGAAUUCUUAAAUAUGGCUUCUUUCUGGAUUUUCUUUGAGGGGGAAGUGAAGGCAACUUUGACACGUCAAGACUUUGAGCUUGUCCGCCUCUGUUGAAGCUCCACCCCAGAAUAUAGUGGCUGCUAGCCACUGCUCCAGUAGAUGAAGAAAAACCAACGUACAUAGAAUCCAACAUAACAGAAGAAAGAUCGAGAGGUGUUGACAAGAGAGGCAAGGUUGGUUUUGUUCUUGUGAUAGGAGCAACUGUAACAUUGAGUAGCUUCUCUACUUCAUCGUAAUCUAUCCAGACGUGCAUCACAUGACCACUUAUGAGAGUCAAGCUCUUAUUCUCCUUUUCCUCAUCUGAAAAGUAGGUCACCGCAGCAGAUUCAAUGGAUAUCAAGCUGUUUACAUCAAUUCCAACGUGGUUGUCAUUGAUGUCUUUAAAAUCCGGGCUUCGAAUUGCAUCCAGCUCAACUGCCAAUAGAUGGUUUGAAGACAGGCCAUUGCUUGUAGAAUUGAGGAUUCCAAGGUACUGAGUUGCCAAAGCCCCUGUGAAGUUCGUAGAUUGAGAGAUUGUGAAGGCCAUGCCAUGGCCACCAAGUGUAGGCAGCUCAGAGACCAUGGAAAACGCAAACUGGGUAGAGAAAGAGAGAGACCGAGAAUUGUUGAAUAAAGAUGUGUUGAACAGAAAAGGGAAUGGGAAGAAAGCACGGCCAAUUUGCUGUUUUGAAGUGUUUGUCAGCUCUAAGAGACCAUUUGGAUGGAUUUUUGCAAUCUCGCUGAGGAGCAGGUUGGCUCCAGUGAAGCCAUGAUAGAUGAAGUGGUUUUGCUCUUGAGCUAAGGCCAAGAGCUUCGAGGAAACAAACAGGCCGAGCAGGAAGUGCAAUGAUUUGAAAGCGGCAAUCAUCACAUGAACAAGUAGAAGAUUGUUUUUGCUUCUUCAGUUACACAUUGGUAAAAGUUUUUUCGCUUCGAGUUUUUCCUUAAUUGUUGUUACAGUUUCUAAAGACUGAAUUAUUAACACGUCUCUUCACAUUGCUAUGA